Long non-coding RNA from Stegostoma tigrinum, 716 nucleotides. RefSeq lists it as uncharacterized. The transcript is spliced from 3 exons. The record is from RefSeq and is a predicted model, not a curated record. Lineage: Eukaryota; Metazoa; Chordata; Chondrichthyes; Orectolobiformes; Stegostomatidae.
CGUGCGCAGGCGCAACUGGGAGAGGUGCUCCGGCGCCAUCUUGGUGGCGAUUUUUGCUGUUUGAGGUCCUGUUGAAGCGGCGGCAGAAGCAGCGACCGCGAGGAGGUUCAGCUGGACCAGGAAAUUCUUUGCUUUCAGCUGCUGUUUCGCGGGUUCGCCGUUGUUUUUUCAUCGGAACUCUUAGAAAACUGUCUAAAGUACGAGCUCAUGUCUGCCUUUUGUAACUGCGAAGACAAGUAUUAAGUUACAAAAGUAUUAAAGUCUGCAUUUCAAUCCUACUUCCCUUCUCCACAAUUAUGAUGUCUGUCACAAAGUGUACAUAACUUGCAUAAUUCUUUUUGCAGGUUGCAGAGGUCUUGGCUGAAGUUGAACAUGUAAAACAGUUGCCCAGGAUAAAGGGGAGAUGGUUUAGAACGGUGAAGAAAUGGACUACUUCAGCACAAGCAGUUUUGUUUGAAGCUUCGAGACCAGAAGUGUUUUGUUGCAAUCCUGAAGAUAUGAAUUUGAAGCUCAGAUUCUCCAUCUGAGGAAUCGAAGCCACACUUGAAUUAAGCCCAACACAUCACGAGAAGGGAAUAUAAAGAGUGUAAAGGAAUGCUUUUAGGAUUAACUGGUUGGUAUUUUACCAAAUGUUUCCAAAUCUUUAAACCUGUUCUGUGUAAAUAGCUUUGGUUAUCAUUUUAUCAUCUUCUGCAUAAUAAAAUUACCUCACUGUU